GAUGAACGCUGGCGGCGUGCCUAAUACAUGCAAGUCGAGCGAACAGACGAGGAGCUUGCUCCUCUGACGUUAGCGGCGGACGGGUGAGUAACACGUGGAUAACCUACCUAUAAGACUGGGAUAACUUCGGGAAACCGGAGCUAAUACCGGAUAAUAUAUUGAACCGCAUGGUUCAAUAGUGAAAGACGGUUUUGCUGUCACUUAUAGCUGGAUCCGCGCCGCAUUAGCUAGUUGGUAAGGUAACGGCUUACCAAGGCAACGAUGCGUAGCCGACCUGAGAGGGUGAUAGGCCACACUGGAACGGAGACACGGUCCAGACUCCUACGGGAGGCAGCAGUAGGGAAUCUGCCGCAAUGGGCGAAAGCUUGACGGAGCAACGCGGCGUGAGUGAUGAAGGUCUUCGGAUCGUAAAACUCUGUUAUGAGGGAAGAACAAAUGUGUAAGUAACGAUGCACGUCUUGACGGUACCUAAGCAGAAAGCCACGGCUAACUACGU
Molecule: ribosomal RNA, 496 nt
Filed under: uncultured bacterium
Lineage: Bacteria
Description: partial 16S ribosomal RNA
Rfam family: Bacterial small subunit ribosomal RNA
Source: RNAcentral